UUUGAUAACACAGAAAUUCACCGUAUUUUCGACUCCGAUUUCACAUGCAUUUUAGUUGUUUUAUUGUUAUUUUGUUGUGUUAUUACUAUGUUUUUCUUUGUUUUCAGGUUUUUACUUUAAUCGGAGCCCCGAUCGAGAAUAUUUUAGUUGUUUUAUUGUUAUUUUGUUGUGUUAUUACUAUGUUUUUCUUUGUUUUCAGGUUUUUACUUUAAUCGGAGCCCCGAUCGAGAAAAGGAGUGAAAAAGAGCUAAAAACCCUAAAA
This 262-nucleotide long non-coding RNA is filed under the name Lathyrus oleraceus (garden pea). RNAcentral's name for it is "Pisum sativum (pea) long non-coding RNA (PSAT_LNC019144)". The record is from RNAcentral. Lineage: Eukaryota; Viridiplantae; Streptophyta; Magnoliopsida; Fabales; Fabaceae.